Molecule: ribosomal RNA, 397 nt
Filed under: uncultured bacterium
Lineage: Bacteria
Description: partial 16S ribosomal RNA
Rfam family: Bacterial small subunit ribosomal RNA
Source: RNAcentral
AUACGUAGGUGGCAAGCGUUGUCCGGAAUUAUUGGGCGUAAAGCGCGCGCAGGUGGUUCCUUAAGUCUGAUGUGAAAGCCCCCGGCUCAACCGGGGAGGGUCAUUGGAAACUGGGGAACUUGAGUGCAGAAGAGGAUAGUGGAAUUCCAAGUGUAGCGGUGAAAUGCGUAGAGAUUUGGAGGAACACCAGUGGCGAAGGCGACUGUCUGGGCUGUAACUGACACUGAGGCGCGAAAGCGUGGGGAGCAAACAGGAUUAGAUACCCUGGUAGUCCACGCCGUAAACGAUGAGUGCUAAGUGUUAGGGGGUUUCCGCCCCUUAGUGCUGCAGCUAACGCAUUAAGCACUCCGCCUGGGGAGUACGGUCGCAAGACUGAAACUCAAAUGAAUUGACGGGG